This 253-nucleotide ribosomal RNA is filed under the name uncultured bacterium. RNAcentral describes it as "partial 16S ribosomal RNA". It matches the Rfam family "Bacterial small subunit ribosomal RNA", at positions 524 to 776 of the family's 1533-position model. The record is from RNAcentral.
UACGGGGGGGGCAAGCGUUGUUCGGAAUUACUGGGCGUAAAGGGUGCGUAGGCGGUUCGCUAAGUUGGAUGUGAAAUCUCUGGGCUCAACCUGGAGAGGUUGUCCGAUACUGCUGAACUGGAGGGCAGUAGAGGGUGGUGGAAUUCCGGGUGUAGUGGUGAAAUGCGUAGAGAUCCGGAGGAACACCAGUGGCGAAAGCGGCCACCUGGACUGCACCUGACGCUGAAACGCGAAAGCUAGGGGAGCGAACGGG